CCUAGAGGUUGUAGGCUUUGCCUGCUAUCUCUUACCCAUGUCUUUUGAGUACCUUCGUUUCCCUCGGCGGGUCCGCCCGCCGAUUGGACAAUUUAAACCAUUUGCAGUUGCAAUCAGCGUCUGAAAAAACUUAAUAGUUA
RNAcentral lists this unclassified non-coding RNA (140 nucleotides) under soil metagenome. RNAcentral describes it as "partial internal transcribed spacer 1". The record is from RNAcentral.